Molecule: unclassified non-coding RNA, 163 nt
Filed under: uncultured fungus
Lineage: Eukaryota; Fungi
Description: sequence contains ITS1
Source: RNAcentral
CAAGGAGCAUAAAACCUCCCUAAACCCACUGUGAACGUACCUGUUCUGUUGCCUAGGCAGGCGGCCCCUGGGAGGGGUCCUGGCCCUAGCGGGUGUCUGCCAAAGGCCGCUAAAACUCUUGCUAUUUUAUGUUAUCUGAGUCGCUAUAAGCAAAAAAUUAUUA